UGUUUUAUCCUUAAAUUGAAAAGGUUUAUAAAAUUUAAACUUGCUUAUUUUGGAGCAUCAUAUCAGUGUUUGCACAUACUAGGUUUUCAAAUGAAUUAAGCCUGGCCCCCAGCCAGUGCUGCAGGAGAGAAGGAUAGUCCUGCACUGCCCCCCUGGCCCAGGGCCCCCCACCCUGUGUCCAGCCACACAGCUGUGAGAGCAGGGAGUCGGUACACAGCACAAGAAAAAAAA
Long non-coding RNA from Gavialis gangeticus (Gharial), 231 nucleotides. RefSeq lists it as uncharacterized. The transcript is spliced from 2 exons. NCBI's taxonomy places the organism in Eukaryota, Metazoa, Chordata, Crocodylia, Gavialidae. The record is from RefSeq and is a predicted model, not a curated record.